Molecule: long non-coding RNA, 383 nt
Organism: Siniperca chuatsi (mandarin fish)
Lineage: Eukaryota; Metazoa; Chordata; Actinopteri; Centrarchiformes; Sinipercidae
Exons: 2
Source: RefSeq, a predicted model, not a curated record
UUUCCAUUCUGUUUUUAUGUGUCAUUGGUUGGUAAAGGAUAUGGCAAAACAUGUGUGUUGGUGUGCAUUUCAUAGGUUACACCGUAAAAUGUGUUAAUUAUAUGUUUAUUAUUCAAAUUUAAAAUGGAAACCAUUAUGAUACUUUUCAAAUGACAGCAGCAUCUUAGAUUCUUAUUGGACAAACUGAACACUCUAAAAGAAUGGUUUCUGUACUGCCCUCUGGCGUUUAGUUAUAGUUUCUAGUCGGACUCAUUUCAGUGACGGACCUGUUAGAGCAAUAGCGCAGAAAUCAGUCACGAGUUUGCUUCAUUACACAGCUUGGUCAAAUAUGUGUCUUCUUACAGACUUAAAUGGAGAAAAGAUUAAGAAAUAAAACUGAGGAA